This is a long non-coding RNA of Mustela lutreola (European mink), 1408 nucleotides long. RefSeq lists it as uncharacterized. The record is from RefSeq and is a predicted model, not a curated record. The transcript has 3 exons. Lineage: Eukaryota; Metazoa; Chordata; Mammalia; Carnivora; Mustelidae.
AGCAGGGAGGAGCUGGGUGGAGAUCAGUUAGCAAGGAAGGGGCCACACUCCAGAGAGGCUUGGAAACUACUCUUGGCCCUUUGCAUCCAUCCUGUGGGUGACUGGCAACCUUGAAAGUUCAGGCACAGGAGGAAGAAGUUCCAGCAGUCCAGGGACCAGUGAGUUGCUCUUCGCACUGGGCCAUCAGUUAUGAUGCUUAGAACCAUGUCUUCUGGGAGGGAAGCCCCAAGACACUAUUCCACGUCAGUCAAAGGAUGGGAGUUACUCCUGGAUAAUGAAGACUCCAGGAUUCCAGUUUCAAAGGGACAGAGCAUGAGCAGGAGGAGGAGGCGGAGGGAGAGAAGCAGACUCCGCCUGAGCACAGAGCCUCAACAGGGUUUCCAUCCCACAACCCUGAGACCAUGACCCUGAGAUCCUGGUCUAAGCUGAAAUCAAGAGCCAGAUGCUUAACUGACUGAUCCACCCAGGCAUCUUAUACUACAUUUCAUCCAUCCAAGAAUCAUUACUUGUCUGUCUUAUCCUUAUAGAUUCUCAAGAAAACAUGUUAUUUAACCUCUCUUAUGGGGUGAAUUGUAAUUCAAUUGGCCACCCGUGUGUGACCUAGCAUGACUGUGCAGCUUUCUCUGUGUGUUGCAAUCUCAUUGGCCACCUGUGUGUGGCCAGGCUCAACCACAUGGCCUUUGUUCUAUAAAAGUUAGUCUGUAAGGAUUUUUUUUCCCUUAUGUAACUGAGAUCUUCUAUAACUUAAAGCCGGUCCUCCUCCGUCCACAGAACAGGUGGAAAACAUCUGGCAAAAAUAAGAAAUCAAAGAGCCCUACACGUGUUAACUAAUAGUUUAGCCAGAGCAAUUCCAUUCAGUUAAACAGUGAUUUUGUUGUUUAUGCAGUAAAACUUAAACUGACCCUGCCCCCCUCCCCCAGGGGAACUUACUUAAAAGCAAGUCUGGGAAACCAGUAAAAUAUGGUCGACCAGUCCCUGAUAACAGAGUAAAUACAAGGGCGGUUCAGGUCAGGUGGAGAUAACAGCCCUAAUGCAGGGAUGAGUCCGGUCAGGUGGAGACAGCCAAUCAGUAAAGCGCACAUACUGUCUCCCUAGCUACUAAGGAGUGUGGGCCCCGCCUUUUGGGCCCCAAUUCUGACCAAGGUGAUAGGCUAGUUCAAAUAGCUACUAUGGGGUGAAUUGUAAUUCAAUUGGCCACCCGUGUGUGACCUAGCAUGACUGUGCAGCUUUCUCUGUGUGUUGCAAUCUCAUUGGCCACCUGUGUGUGGCCAGGCUCAACCACAUGGCCUUUGUUCUAUAAAAGUUAGUUUGUAAGGCAGGGAGGGGUUGCCCUCUCUGUAAGAGGCAGCCCCGAACGGUCGGUUUGAUUCUCGAUGCUUGGCGAGAAAUAAAGCUUUGCUCGACCUUC